GAUGAAGAACGCAGCGAAAUGCGAUAAGUAAUGUGAAUUGCAGAAUUCAGUGAAUCAUCGAAUCCUUGAACGCACAUUGCGCCCGCCAGUAUUCUGGCGGGCAUGCCUGUUCGAGCGUCAUUUCAACCAUCAAGCCCCCGGCUUGUGUUGGGGACCUGCGGCUGCCGCAGGCCCUGAAAAGCAGUGGCGGGCUCGCUGUCACACCGAGCGUAGUAGCAUACAUCUCGCUCUGGGCGUGCUGCGGGUUCCGGCCGUUAAACCACCUUCAUAACCCAAGGUUGACCUCGGAUCAGGUAGGAAGACCCGCUGAACUUAAGCAUAUCAAUAGCGGAGGA
RNAcentral lists this unclassified non-coding RNA (335 nucleotides) under soil metagenome. RNAcentral's name for it is "partial contains 5.8S ribosomal RNA, internal transcribed spacer 2, and large subunit ribosomal RNA". The stretch from base 1 to 120 matches the Rfam family "5.8S ribosomal RNA", at positions 35 to 154 of the family's 154-position model. The record is from RNAcentral.